This 104-nucleotide small RNA is filed under the name Phascolarctos cinereus (koala). RNAcentral describes it as "Polled intersex syndrome regulated transcript 1 (ENSPCIG00000024622.2)". Lineage: Eukaryota; Metazoa; Chordata; Mammalia; Diprotodontia; Phascolarctidae. The record is from RNAcentral.
UUUAUCUUAUUCUUUAAUAUUAGGGUAACUGCAAACAUAUUUUGGAAAAAAAAAGUACUUUUCAGGCUUUAGUCUAUAAUAACUUUUUUUUAGAAGAGCUAAUG